AUUGCAGCUGCAGCUUGAGUUCCCGGUAAAGCCUAUGAAGUGAGACGGUGCAGAGGAAAAGAUAACGGUAUUCAUUCACCCCUGGCACAGGGACGUCCUACGCGAAAAGUGCUGCAGGCUCCCUGAUGGCAGCACGGACAGCAGCCGGUUGUUGCUGGAAUCCCAUGCGAUCUUCCUGGCUAUGGAUCAUUUCAUGUAUAUGUCCUGUUGGUUGAGUAGACCAUCCUCCCAAGGACCAACUGGUCCCAUCAAAUGCAGAUCCUCAUCCAGGUCAUCUUCCCGAGUACCCAGUACGUCACCACGUCAUCGCCUGGCUCCUGUGGUCACAUUUAUGGGAUUUUAGGGCUUCCAUUGGCCCAGGGUGUGGCUGAGGGAUUCCUCGAAGGAAGUGCUAGAAGGUAACACUGCAUUUAAUCUUAGACCAAAGACCUUUAAAUAGCACAGCGUGCACAUUUGUUAUAGUCACAGAGUCUAGCUGCACAAGGGGAAAGGGUUUAGAUAUGGAUUAAUUCCCUCUUUACGUGGAUGGCUUUUUAUCUACUGAAAACAGGCCACAGCUUACUGUAACCACUUGAGGCAGCAGUUUGUAUUUAUCAAGUGUAUAGUUUCUUGCAAUUCUUAAAUAUAUGUGAGUUCUAGUCUUAUGAAUGUCCAUUUCUACUGGACAAGCUGGAGUUUUGAGACACAUAUAAUAAGCUCUUUUUUCCAGACUUUCAUUUGAAUGUCAUCAUUAGGCGGCAAAGUUAGAACCACAAGGCCUCAAAAUGUGUACCAGAAGUGGGUUAAGGAAAAGAAGAUUCAACCUUGUAGUAAACCUGCCAAUAUAGUGCCACCUCAUCACUAUAAAUAUGUGUACAUACCCUACUAAUUUGGUUUUCCAAAUGCAGUUUGGAGGACAAGUAAUUGUUGCCUUGAUUCUGUUCACUGACAGUAGUUGGUUCAGUGCAUCUGAUAUGUGACAUCUAUAUCUCAGUGGUCACAGGGGAAGCUUGGGUGUGUGGUUAAGUUCACAAUUUAGAAAGUGUAGAGUAGGAUUUUGGUCCUUUUUCCCACAGUUUUUAAGAUGUCAUCAACUACCAAAGGGUUGUGGUUUUGUCAUAAAUUUUACGAAAUAUUAAACAGUCCUGUUUUUACUUGGUUUGCUCAUUAUGUUUAUACUGCUUACUAUUGUUCCCACUGUGCUCUAGUCUUUAGCUUUCCAGCUUCAAUAGUAGGUAGAAGCAGUACGGCACCCUGUGGCUGUUUCAGCAAGACAGUGCCUAUCCCCACUGUCCCACUUCUGGAUCGGGAGUAUAAUCAGACACUUCCCUCGCUUUAACAUUUAGUACUGAUAUGUCUCCAAUUAUAUAUGCCAACUGCAAUCAAGCGUUUGCAAUAACUGGCACAAGUGUUUAACAUCGCAGUGGAGGAAUUUUGGCCACCUUAUCUUUCCAGAAUUGUUUUAAUUUAGUCCCACUAGAGGAUUUUUAGCAUGAAUAGCUUUUUUUAAUGUUAUGCCAAAGCAUCCUAAUCAGAUUUAAGUUUGAACUUUGACUAGGCCAUUCCAAAACCUUAAUUUUGUUUUCUUUUUUUAGCCAUUUAAUGGUGAACUUGCUUAUGUUUUUUUUAUCAUUAUUCUGUUGCAUAAUCCAAGUGUACUUGAGCUUGAAGAUUUGAAACGAUAACUGGACUUUAGGAUUUUCUGGUACAGAGAAGAAUUCAUGGUUCCAGUUACAGCAGAAGCAGCGGACCAUCACACUACCACCACCGUGUUUCACUGCUGGUUUGAUAUUCUUUUAAUGAAAUGCUGUGUUAGUUCUACACCCUAACCCUUUUCGUAAUCCAUGGAUGACAUUUUUGCCCAGUCUCUUUCUUAUUGUUAAAUCAUGAAAACUUUGACUGAUUUUAACUAAAACAAGUGAGGCAUGCACUUCUUUACAGUAUGUUCUGGGUUCUUCUGUGACCUCUUGGAUGAGCUGUUGAGGUGAUCUUGGAGUAAUUUUGGUAGGCUAGCCACUCCUGGGAACCUUCCUCAGUGUUUUCUAUUUGUGGAUAAUGGUUUUCUGACAUCUCAAAGCUUUAGAAACAUCUUUGUAACCCUUUACAAGCGGAUAGAUUUCAGUUACUUUGUUUCCCAUUUGUUCUUUAUUUAUUUAGAUCAGGGGUGGGGAACUCCAGGCC
Molecule: long non-coding RNA, 2160 nt
Organism: Haplochromis burtoni (Burton's mouthbrooder)
Lineage: Eukaryota; Metazoa; Chordata; Actinopteri; Cichliformes; Cichlidae
Exons: 3
Source: RefSeq, a predicted model, not a curated record